RNAcentral lists this ribosomal RNA (521 nucleotides) under uncultured bacterium. RNAcentral's name for it is "bacterial SSU rRNA". It matches the Rfam family "Bacterial small subunit ribosomal RNA", at positions 29 to 451 of the family's 1533-position model. The record is from RNAcentral.
AGUGAACGCUGGCGGCGUGCCUAACACAUGCAAGUCGAACGGGCUAGUGCUUCGCACUAGUCUCUUUCUGGGGUUGUUACUCUAAGGCUACCUGCUAAAGUUAUUGCUUUAAAGCAGGGGUUUUAGGAGACUUUCCCCGAAAGGGGCCAGUGCGGAGCACUGGCCAGUGGCGAACGGGUGAGUAACACGUGGGUAAUCUACCCUCGAGUGGGGGAAUAAGCUUCCGAAAGGGGGUCUAAUGCCGCAUAACGUUUCAUAACGAUGGUUAUGAAACCAAAGCCCAAAAGGCGCUCGAGGAGGAGCCUGCGUCCUAUCAGCUUGUUGGCAGGGUAAUGGCCUACCAAAGGCUAUGACGGGUAGCCGGCCUGAGAGGGUGUCCGGCCACACUGGAACUGAGACACGGUCCAGACUCCUACGGAGGCAGCAGUGGGAAGUUUUGCGCAAUGGGGAAACCUGACGCAGCGACGCCGCGUGGAGGAGUGACGGCUCGGUUGUAACGUACUCGUCAGAGGAGAAGACCG